GCCCUCGUGGCGGAACUGGCAUACGCGUCAGCCUUAGGAGCUGAUUCCCGCAAGGGAUUGGAGGUUCAAAUCCUCCCGGGGGCA
RNAcentral lists this transfer RNA (84 nucleotides) under Candidatus Magasanikiibacteriota bacterium. RNAcentral describes it as "Candidatus Magasanikbacteria bacterium tRNA-Leu". It matches the Rfam family "tRNA". From Rfam's summary of the family: Transfer RNA (tRNA) molecules are approximately 80 nucleotides in length. Their secondary structure includes four short double-helical elements and three loops (D, anti-codon, and T loops). Lineage: Bacteria; Candidatus Magasanikiibacteriota. The record is from RNAcentral.